CUACGAUGUUUACCAUGCCUGUCAUGCCCCAUGAAAUCCUGGCGCUUAUCCGUCGGCAGCCAAAGAAAAUGAUAUCGCGCAAAAAAGAUGGCGACAGCGGGGGCGUGGCAUGGCUUGCCAAAGCAGGUCCCGUGACUUCCGGCAUUUUGAAAAAGUCAGCGAAAAGAUAAGUGUACUGUGGUGUAUGUAAUGUUAAACGAGAUUUUAUAAAGCAAAAAAAUACUGCACGACUUGCAUUACUCGUCUUGGAAAGCUGCGACAGUGUCGCCACCGCAACGUCGCCCUUCUGUUGUGUGCAAAUGGCGGCGCCCUAGGACGAGCCCUACUGCUGCGCGUCGGUCGAGCGCCCCAGCCUGCAGAUGGCGAAAUAGUUGCAGCUGUGAUGCGUCCUUAUACUACCUCUUAAUAGAAGGCACUUUCUAAGACGGACAGAGAGAGAGAGAGAAUAAGCUUUAUUGGAACCAACUUUCUGCAAUGGGAGCGGGCACAGACGACCAGCUGGCGCUGGCCUUCCAGGAUGGAGCUGAGCAGCACAGCCUCUUAUUGGGAUGUGCGAGGCAUAGGAGGUAUUGUGGGGUUCCGUUGGCAUUCCCAUACAGUGUGGUACAGAUUGGCAUAAUUCGCACAGAAUGGGCAUUCUUUGCUGUAUUGUUCAGGGUAUGAGUGGUGAAGUAGGCUUAGGUGUCUCUGAGCACCAGGUGCCAAAUGUUAAAUAUAUGGUCAUUAGUGGCAGUUUCAUUCUGUCCACAUAAGAGACAUCGAUGGUAGUGUAGUGGGGUCUUGUAAAGGGACUUCGUCCAUGUUUAUAACAUGACCAGGGCAGGCAUUAGGAUCGCCAAUUCAUUCUUGAAGUGAAGUUCUCAAGCUUCUACUCACUUGACUGGCAGCAUCUGGCACAUGGUUGUGCAAGCUUGAAUUGCUAAGUCGUGCAUCAUGAAUGUUUAAGACAUGAACCAUGAUGGUCUGCUGACUAAACCCACAGCAUCCAUAUAUUUCACCAAUGUCCCUUUCAACACAGCUGCACUGUUGAGUCCCCUGCCUUCAGCCCAUUGUGCUGGUCAAUUAUCAUUGACCGAUAGUCAAUGAUAAGCUUCCUUUCUGGCCAUUCUGCCUUUUUACCUUGGUCCACGAUCUUUGUGCUCUUGGUGGAACUGAUAUUUUCUCAAGUUAUCUGUGAGUCGCAAAUCAUUCUUUCCUCGACGGUGGAGUGCCAUCCUGGUGCACGGUUAUCAUUCUUGACUACGUGGGCAAUAGCAGACAAUUUAAACUUGGCGGUAUAACCUUUACCGAACCUUUCUUGUCAUUUGUUGUGUUCAGCAGCUGAUAACAGUAACAGCGGUAGUGUGCCAGUGGCUGAGCCAGUGAAGGGUGAAGAAUAUGAAA
Dermacentor silvarum is the source of this 1383-nucleotide long non-coding RNA. RefSeq lists it as uncharacterized. The transcript is spliced from 2 exons. NCBI's taxonomy places the organism in Eukaryota, Metazoa, Arthropoda, Arachnida, Ixodida, Ixodidae. The record is from RefSeq and is a predicted model, not a curated record.